This 440-nucleotide ribosomal RNA is filed under the name uncultured bacterium. RNAcentral describes it as "partial 16S ribosomal RNA". It matches the Rfam family "Bacterial small subunit ribosomal RNA", at positions 338 to 795 of the family's 1533-position model. The record is from RNAcentral.
CCUACGGGAGGCAGCAGUGGGGGAUAUUGCACAAUGGGGGGAACCCUGAUGCAGCGACGCCGCGUGGGUGAAGAAGCGCCUCGGCGCGUAAAGCCCUGUCAGCAGGGAAGAAAAUGACGGUACCUGAAGAAGACGCCCCGGCUAACUACGUGCCAGACGCCGCGGUAAUACGUAGGGGGCAAGCUUUAUCCGGAUUUACUGGGUGGAAAGGGGGCGCAGACGGCGAUGCAAGCCAGGAGUGAAAGCCCGGGGCCCAACCCCGGGACUGCUCCUGGCACUGCGUGGCUGGAGUGCAGGAGGGGCAGGCGGAAUUCCUGGUGUAGCGUUGAAAUGCGUAGAUAUCAGGAGGAACACCGGUGGCGAAGGCGGCCUGCUGGACUGCAACUGACGUUGAGGCCCGAAAGCGUGGGGAGCAAACAGGAUUAGAUACCCUAGUAGUC